GAUGCUGGAUCCAGCGUGAUGACGCAGGUGGCUUACGUGAGAUGUACGUAAGGCACGUUGUGCAACCCUCGUCCUGCACGUUGACAUUGGGACAGUCCUCUCUUCACUCUCUCAGAGCGGGAUGGGAGCAUCUUACUCUACAAAUGCUGCUCCGACAGUCCGGGCCGAGGCCAUGAUGGCUGCUGCCCCCCCGCAGGGCUGCCCCAUGCACCAGGAAGCCCCGCCUGUCAAAGUGUCCCCCCCUGUAGAGUGUCCCAUGCAUCAAGCUCCUCCUGCAGUGCCCCCCCCUGCAGAGUGUCCCAUGCAUCAAGCUCCUCCUGCUAAAGCAGCGUCCCCCCCUCCAGAGUGUCCAAUGCACAAAGCAGAACCAGUACCGUCUCACCAGGAGAGAGCCUAUGAGUUUGUGCAGUGUCCCAUGAAGGGGGCGGAGGGCGGGAAGAGUGACAUCGACCCCUCCAACAUGAUGCCCCCACCUAACCAGACACCGGCUCCGGACCAGCCCUUCAGCCUGGACCUGGUGCGAGAGGAGUCGACCAUCCCCCGACACAACUCUGAGAAUAAGUGGGUGUACCCAUCGGAGCAGAUGUUCUGGAACGCCAUGCUGCGGAAAGGGUGGCGGUGGCGCGAGGACGACCUGGGCUCUCAGGAUAUGACUAACAUCAUCAAGAUCCACAACACCAACAACGAGCAGGCCUGGCAGGAGAUCCUCAAGUGGGAGGCCAUGCAUGCAGGGGAGUGUCCGUGUGGCCCCACCCUGAAGAGGUUCGGAGGGAAAGCCAAGGAGUUUUCCCCCAGAGCUCGCAUGCGCCACUGGAUGGGCUACGAGCUCCCCUUCGACCGCCAUGAUUGGAUCAUCGACCGUUGUGGGCGGGAGGUUCGUUACAUCAUCGACUACUAUGAUGGCGAGAUCAACACGGAGAAUUACCGCUUCUCCAUCCUGGACGUCCGCCCCGCCGUCGACUCUUUAGACGCUGUGUGGGACCGCAUGAAGGUCACCUGGUGGCGCUGGACGUCCUAGAUGAGACACCUGGGCGUCCUGAAGGAGACAUCGUGUGUCCUGGAGGACUGGGGGAGAAAGGAAAUGGACUAAGACAGUUAUGUGACGCUUCCUCUCUGUGGAGAGCUUUUCGGGUUUGAUUUGCAUAUUCUGUUUUCAUCUGCUGAUGUUCCUGUAGACUGUUGUAGCUUCAUCUCAUCUGGCAACUUCAAAUCCAUGAUCAGACUAAAGGUAGAGAGGUUCCAACAUGCAGAGCCCAGAGAAGAUGCAUCACUAUGGUUUAUGAUGGAUAACUCAAGACUGUUCACGUGGAAAUGAUCUAAUAAACUGAACAGUGAGAGGUAUCCUCCUGUGGGUGCAGUCCUGCAGCUGAACACCAGAGGGAGCUGUUACCCUAUAAUCCACAUCUGACUGCAGGGAAACAGCACCAUAAAGAACAUGUUAUUUAGUGUGAGGUCUGUUUCCUCUGUGGGAUGGACCCUCACUCUGCAGGAACACACAUUGCACAUGGUUUAGACAUCCUUAGAAACCAGAUCAACCUGCAGCAGUUCUUCAGGUUUACUUUACUGCUGUGAAAACGAGGCCUAUUUGUUUCUUAUUUUAAAUGCAUUUUAUUGUUCUGUAAAACGCCUUUGAGUUUUGAUAUCAAUUAAGUUCUAAUUUAAAUAUCCCAGCAUGCAUUUCACAUCUACAAUAAUUUUAUACAUGCAUUAAACUUCUCUACACAAUGCCUUUUAUUUAAGUAAUAUAUAUAAGUCUGUUCUGCUUCCCAGCUGCUCUCUGCUGUUACCUGGCAACUGCUGCAGGAAUCAGAAACUCUGAAACUGCAGAGCUAACUGAGAUAAAGUAAAUGAGACAUGAUGUGUUCAUUAUAUCAGCUCCUCUGAUCCGUGCAGGAGUGUCAUCCUGACAGAUGCACGCUGCUAAGUGAUAGAAGUCUGCACUGUGGACAACAGAGCGGCAGACAGGUCUGCUAAAUGAUGGUGGUUAAUUAUGAGACAAUGCUUUAAGGCUUCAUUUCUCUUCUGUCUCUUCUUUGCUACAUUUGCUCCUGACUUUAAGGAGUCCAAUCCUGCUGAUACAACCUGAACCAACCUGGAGACACUGCAGCUCGUAGCAGCGAACAGAGAGGAACAUCAGCAGAAGAUUAUAUAUACAUAAGUACAUUUUAUUCACCUUUAAAUAUGAGGGGGAACAGAGACACGUGUCUCUGCAAGCCUCACUAAUUCAGCCUCAUUGUGAAGCUCUAGAAACCUGAAUAAAGUCACUUUAUUUCAAACGUUUCAAUCUGAAA
This is an RNA transcript of Eleginops maclovinus (Patagonian blennie), 2291 nucleotides long. It is a transcript of the gene named holocytochrome c-type synthase, with no coding region annotated. The transcript has 10 exons. The record is from RefSeq and is a predicted model, not a curated record. Lineage: Eukaryota; Metazoa; Chordata; Actinopteri; Perciformes; Eleginopidae.